Peromyscus maniculatus bairdii (prairie deer mouse) is the source of this 179-nucleotide non-coding RNA. The record is from RefSeq and is a predicted model, not a curated record. NCBI's taxonomy places the organism in Eukaryota, Metazoa, Chordata, Mammalia, Rodentia, Cricetidae.
GAGAUGUCUCUUUGUAUGCUGUGAAUAUGUGUGACUCCCAUUGGAUAAUAAAUAAAGCUGCUUUGGUCUAUGUCAAGAAAGCUUACAGCAAGGUGGCAAAUCCAAGCAAAGAUACAGAGAGAAGAAGGGCUGAGCUGGAGGAGAUGCCAGCCUGCUGCCCAAGGAGCAGCAAGAUGCCA